GUGCGUGUGGGUUAAAGUGCCCCAGCAUGUUCCAUGCUGAUCUGAUAAUGAGCGAGCAGGGUCAAUAGGAUGUUAACGGCCCCGUGGGAACGGCAAGUGGUGGAUGGGCGGAGGAAGGACGAGGGCCUCGGGACAGCGAGCUGUGUUCGAACUGAUCACCGUACGUGGGAAAAGGUCUCGCGGCCUCAAUCAUGUGCCAGCAGCAGCAACAGUAGAGUCAACGAGUGUUGAAUGGGAAAGAGGACACCUUACUCACUGCGAGGGCAUGAUAUCAAUUUGCAAAAGCAGCAGCACGUCAAGUCUGGACCAUUUGAUGCUCGAGCACAGCAGAGAAACCCAACACGAAGCUGUUGAACUAAAUAACACUGACAUACCUGGAUGGGGACUGUAGUAUCAACUGUCUGUGCGUCAGUGGCCCACAAGCUAUUUCUCAACACCUCAUGAUGACCUCAGUCAAAUACAAUUUUGCUUUCCUGGGGGUGAAAAUUCAACAUAUCGUGCUGAUUACUUCUCAGACAAGAAAAUAUUGAAAAUCCAGAGAGACGGACGGCGGCGUUGUACGAGAAUUGUCUAUCAGGCGCAGUUUAAUCUCUCUGACACACUUCAAGGACAAAAGCAGAAUAUUUACCGAGAUGACUGAGAUGGCUGUUUAGCAUGUCUGCCAUAAUCCAGUCAUAAUCACUCUUGUCUGUUUAUUUUGCACAGAGGUCAAGCGCUUUUUUUUCCCCUCGGCAUCCACGCUUUGUUGCACCAAUGAAGACAGUUUCACUCGUUAAUGAAUAAUCUACUCAUCAUCAGUCCAUUGCUGUGUCUGAACCCAAAAAAAAAAAAGCAAUGUCAUUGUGUUUUAUGUUCAUUAAGUUCUUUCGCUAACCUUGUCAUAAUUCAUUUUGAGGCACCGAAUCUGGGUCUUUAACUAAAUACGCUGUAUUUUUAAAUAUUUGUCGUGAAACUCAUUUAGGUUUCACCUGUCACUUGUGUUUUGCAGUGUCAUAUGGCCGAAGAGGAACCUUCUCUGCAGUUUGUGCGGAAUGUCACAACUGUCCCAUACUGAUUUCAGUUCAAAGGUUACAGUAUGGUGUGACUUCCAAAUUCCCUUUGCUACUUGCACCUGCCUCCUCCCAGAGAGCCAGGCCUAAACCUUGGGGGUGCCUGAACUGGGGAGACAAAGGUCAAAGGUUAAUGUCUGCUGACACUCUGGUUCUCUUCCUUGGAGACAAUCAGGCGUCUGAAUCUAAACUCACGUCUGUUUGCACUGCUGGGCCAAUGGAGAGCAAACCUUUGACCCCCGCAUUCACAUGUUUUCCAUUCGGAUUUUUGUUGACGUUCGUAAAUGUUCAAUAGAAAACAGUAGAAGUGUAUUGUAUUAUUUUUCACUAAUAAUACUCGCCACUUCUUUCGCGCUAACGUCUGUGCCAGGAUGCUUUCCUGCGCUUACCAGUUCCAUCAACACAGCUCCUUAUUAUUACUAUUAUUAUUAUUGCCCUUGUAAGCUAUGUCAGCUUUACAUUUUUUGUAAAGCAAAAUCUAGGUUAGGAUGUAACCUCAUGUUUGUUGUCGGGGUUUUUGGUGUUGAAAAUAAUCUUUCCAUUCUUUUGCUGCCCGCGCUUUUGACAAGAUUUAAAAUGCCAGAAGAGCUGAAUUCCCAUUAACCUUCUAGUAAUGACACACAUUUGAGUAAAUGUCUUUUGUUGCUCACAGCCACAAUUGUUAGCAAUGAGCCAAAGUUUGCAAGCAGCCGGUUAACAACGGUGCACAAUCCGCUAUUCCUCUGUCCCUGACAGAAUGUGUUAAAUCACAAACAUAAAUAAAAUCAUAGUGAAAUGUU
This is a long non-coding RNA of Syngnathus acus (greater pipefish), 1828 nucleotides long. RefSeq lists it as uncharacterized. Lineage: Eukaryota; Metazoa; Chordata; Actinopteri; Syngnathiformes; Syngnathidae. The transcript has 2 exons. The record is from RefSeq and is a predicted model, not a curated record.